AGCGAACGCUGGCGGCAGGCCUAACACAUGCAAGUCGAACGAACUCUUCGGAGUUAGUGGCGGACGGGUGAGUAACACGUGGGAACGUGCCUUUUGGUUCGGAAUAACUCAGGGAAACUUGUGCUAAUACCGAAUGUGCCCUUCGGGGGAAAGAUUUAUCGCCAUUAGAGCGGCCCGCGUCUGAUUAGCUAGUUGGUGAGGUAACGGCUCACCAAGGCGACGAUCAGUAGCUGGUCUGAGAGGAAGACCAGCCACACUGGGACUGAGACACGGCCCAGACUCCUACGGGAGGCAGCAGUGGGGAAUCUUGCGCAAUGGGCGAAAGCCUGACGCAGCCAUGCCGCGUGAAUGAUGAAGGUCUUAGGAUUGUAAAAUUCUUUCACCGGGGACGAUAAUGACGGUACCCGGAGAAGAAGCCCCGGCUAACUUCGUG
RNAcentral lists this ribosomal RNA (433 nucleotides) under uncultured bacterium. RNAcentral describes it as "partial 16S ribosomal RNA". It matches the Rfam family "Bacterial small subunit ribosomal RNA", at positions 29 to 507 of the family's 1533-position model. The record is from RNAcentral.